GACGAACGCUGGCGGCGUGCCUAACACAUGCAAGUCGAGCGAGUGAAUCUCCUUCGGGAGUGAAGCUAGCGGCGGACGGGUGAGUAACACGUGGGCAACCUGCCUCAUAGAGGGGAAUAGCUUUUCGAAAGGAAGAUUAAUACCGCAUAAGAUUGUAGCUUCGCAUGAAGUAGCAAUUAAAGGAGCAAUCCGCUAUGAGAUGGGCCCGCGGCGCAUUAGCUAGUUGGUGAGGUAACGGCUCACCAAGGCGACGAUGCGUAGCCGACCUGAGAGGGUGAUCGGCCACAUUGGGACUGAGACACGGCCCAGACUCCUACGGGAGGCAGCAGUGGGGAAUAUUGCACAAUGGGGGAAACCCUAAUGCAGCAACGCCGCGUGAGUGAUGACGGCCUUCGGGUUGUAAAGCUCUGUCUUCAGGGACGAUAAUGACGGUACCUGAGGAGGAAGCCACGGCUAACUACGUGCCAGCAGCCGCCGUAA
Molecule: ribosomal RNA, 480 nt
Filed under: uncultured bacterium
Lineage: Bacteria
Description: partial 16S ribosomal RNA
Rfam family: Bacterial small subunit ribosomal RNA
Source: RNAcentral